Molecule: transfer RNA, 69 nt
Filed under: Brachyhypopomus occidentalis
Lineage: Eukaryota; Metazoa; Chordata; Actinopteri; Gymnotiformes; Hypopomidae
Description: tRNA-Asp
Rfam family: tRNA
About the family: Transfer RNA (tRNA) molecules are approximately 80 nucleotides in length. Their secondary structure includes four short double-helical elements and three loops (D, anti-codon, and T loops).
Source: RNAcentral
AAGAUACUAGUAAAAACAUUACACUGCCUUGUCAAGGCAGAGUCGCAGGUUAGACCCCUGCGUAUCUUA